This 66-nucleotide transfer RNA is filed under the name Eugnosta dives. RNAcentral's name for it is "tRNA-Ser". Lineage: Eukaryota; Metazoa; Arthropoda; Insecta; Lepidoptera; Tortricidae. The record is from RNAcentral.
GAAAUAAAAAGAAUAUAAUAAAGCUACUAACUUUAUUUUUAGUGGUUAAAUUCCAUUAUUAUUUCU